UUUAUAACUCAGUCGCAUAUAACCUUUUUUCCCAAAAUUGGAUUUUUAAAAUGAGCAUUAUAUUGCCAUCUACACCAGACAGAGAAACUAAUUUGUCUAGUACGUAUAGGUUUAUGUAUUAAAUGUGACAAUUAUACACGCCAAUAUUUUUAGCAUCCUGAUGGCAGUUUUAUUUACCAUCAGAAUCCAUAAAAUAGUCAAAUAUAUGGUACUUCUAACUCAGACCCUUUCUAAAAUAUUGUACUUUAGACCCCUUAAAUGUAGAUUUCAGUUCUUUUUCGUCAAGAGAGUUCAGCUGUGUUAUUACAGAGUGAAAAAGAUGUUGGGUGCCUUUCUUCCCCUUUGCUAUCUGGCAUACAGGUAGGUAUAGACCAAGUAUAUGGCACUAUAGGAAACAGCUAUAUUGUUCUCUACUCCUUUUUUUUUUUCUAUGAUUGAACUUUUCCUACAGCAUGAGGCUAACUAGGUGUGGAAUUUCAAUUAGCAGCUGUUAUUUAAAUAUGUAGGGAGUAAGCAUUCUCUGAUCUAAUUUUUGUAUAUGAUAAACAAAUUUUGUACAUUGUUUAGCAUUAU
Molecule: non-coding RNA, 573 nt
Organism: Pelobates cultripes (western spadefoot toad)
Lineage: Eukaryota; Metazoa; Chordata; Amphibia; Anura; Pelobatidae
Source: the annotation of a GenBank genome assembly